GCCUGAUUUGCAGAGCCAAGAUUUGCACUUGGGUCAGUCUGGCUACAGCUUCCCGUACUUGCUCUCACCCUGACACCUCUGUUUGCCUCUGAACUCUCCUGACAGCAUUACCCAUCGUCCCCAACUAUGGAGAAAUGAGCGCUAGAGCUAGAGUCUGGAGGUCAGGUCUGAGUCUUACUUCUGUCCUGUCCACAUCUGCUGACCUUGAGUGAACCCAUAUUGUUGGCAGUAAAUUGAGACUUGGGUUUGCUGCUCCCACCUAAGCGAACUUUGUUGAUCAAACGUGAUUAGGAGUGCUGGAAGAAUUGGAUCCACUGUGCGGUUAUUGGUGGUGUUCUGGUUGGUGUUUCUAACACCCGAGCCUCAGGGUUACUGUAUUCCUGGACUGGCAUUUGACCUGCAGUGCCUUGUUCUGGCAGCCGGGUGCCCUUUAUGGAAUCCAUUUGUGCAAGUAACUUUCCGAUGAAGUGGCUUCCUGUGGGUGCAUUGUCAGGCAAAGGAAUGCUUUCAUUGAUCUGCUGAUGAGUACCUCCUGCCGGAUGCCUGCUUUUAUCAACUUAGUUCUCGCUGUGUAUCAAGUUCCUGGAAGCCGGUCCAAGUGAAUCUGCCUCUGACGUGUAUUCAGACCCUGCCCAGGACAACGUCAGGUUCCAGCCUGGUCCGUGAGGAGCCUUCUGGCAGGACUGACCUCUCCUUCCUCUGUGCCCCUCUUCUGGUAUCUAUUUCAUUCUGCUCAGACCGCGGUCUCCAUGCCGCCGCCUUCCUCCCCAUUCCUCCCACUGGGAGCUCCCGGAGGACUGCGCCGUGCUCCACUGUGGGUGUCUAAUGUGAUGCCUGGUGCCCAGCCGGAGCUCAGUAAGAAUGGGCCGAAUGAAGACUGACUCUGACCAAGGACAAAGGUCCCUUCCCGAGCCCCAGUCCAGGUUCAAGGCCCCAAACAGGAAUAUUCUCCAAAGUUUAGUUCAGUUGAUCAGUCGUGUCCGACUCUUUGCGGCCCCAUGG
Bos taurus (domestic cattle) is the source of this 1002-nucleotide long non-coding RNA. NCBI's taxonomy places the organism in Eukaryota, Metazoa, Chordata, Mammalia, Artiodactyla, Bovidae. The record is from Ensembl.